RNAcentral lists this ribosomal RNA (858 nucleotides) under Triticum aestivum (bread wheat). Its description in RNAcentral is "partial small subunit ribosomal RNA". Lineage: Eukaryota; Viridiplantae; Streptophyta; Magnoliopsida; Poales; Poaceae. The record is from RNAcentral.
AUGGAUUCCAAGAAGACCACCGUGCCCACACUUGCCUUCGUCGUGGCGCUGCUGCUCUCAUGCACUGGCAUGAUCAGCGCGGCACGGUACCUUGAAGAGAAGGCGCCACAGGAGGAGCACCUGCCGAGUCCUACGGCGCCUGAGGUGUCGAAGAUGCCUGAACUGCCACAUCCAGUUGUGGAUGAGGUGCCGAAGAUUCCAGAAAUGCCGUACCCCACCAUUCCAAAGAUGCCAGAGCUGCCGCACCCUACUGUUCCAGAGCUACCAAAGCCUGAGGUGCCAAAGAUGCCUGAAGCGUCGCACCCCACCACAAUGGAGCAACCGAAGCCUGAAAUCCCACAUACCGUUGUUCCUGAGAUGCCAAAGACGCCUGAAGUGCCACACCUUACCAUGCCGGAGGUAUCGAAGAUGCCCGAACUGCCACACCCAAUUGUAUCAGAGGUGCCACGCCCUACCAUGCCAGAGGUGCCAAAGAUGCCCGAACUACCACACCCAAACGUACCAGAGGUGCCCAAGAUGCCCAAAGUGCCACACCCUACAACGCCGGAAGUGCCACACCAUGUUGUACCAGAAAUGCCCCAUCUGAUUGUACCGGAGGUGCCAAAGAUACCUGAAGUCUCGCACCUUCUUGCGCCUGAGGCACCUAAGACCGAGCUAGAACACCCUCCUACGCCAGAGGUGCCAAAGAUGCCAGAGAUACCAGAGAUACCACACCCUGCAAUAGAUGAGAUGCCAAAGAUUCCUGAAGUACCUCACAUCGACGUACUAGAGGUGUCUAAGCCUGAAGUCCCACACCCAGCUGCACCAGAGGGGCCAAAGGGCAAAUCACACUACCCGAAGACGGAGGCUAAACCAUGA